Non-coding RNA from Phascolarctos cinereus (koala), 440 nucleotides. NCBI's taxonomy places the organism in Eukaryota, Metazoa, Chordata, Mammalia, Diprotodontia, Phascolarctidae. The record is from RefSeq and is a predicted model, not a curated record.
UCUCAGCGGACAGGGAGGAAGUGGGGAGUGAGGAGGAUUAGGGGCGGGCUGAUGAAGAAACAGAGUCCAAGAGAUUAAGUGAUGCUCCUGGGACCACACAGUUAAUGUGUCUAAAACAAGAUUCCAACCCAAGUCUUCCAGAUUCCAAGUCCAGCAUUCUUUCAGCUUUAUAGUCAUGUGUUACAACUGAUUUGGCCAUUCCUCAAUCACUGAAGUUAACCAGAAAGUGAUCUGGAAGAUGAGUGAAUGUUAUGACUGCAACUUUUGAUUGGGUUAGUUUUAGAGCAACCUGGGAAGAUUUAUAUGAACUGCUGCUAAGAAAAGUGAGCAGAACUAGUAGAAAACUGUAACAGUAAUAUUAAAAUCAUAAUCAACUGUGAAAAAUUUAGCAACUCUGCUCAAUAAAGCAAUCCACAAUUCCAAAGGACUGACAAUGAAAA